CCAUCAUCAAAGAGUACAAAGUCAUAAUUACAACGUUUUUUUUUUUUUUUUUGUGGUGUCUAGGGUUUGAACCUCAGGCCUUGCAUAUAUUAUGCAUUGUUCUUACUAACUGAACUAAGCUCACGGGGACAUAACUACAACGUUUUUGAGAUUAUAAAAAAAAUUGGGCGUAAACAAAAUAACUAAAUGUCAAAUAUUCUAGUUAGGCAAUGUGAACUCUCUUAGGUUGCUACUCAUUGAAUCCAUGGGCCAUGGCUGAAAUCUAGAACAGUCACACCAACCAUUCAAACACCUUGGUAGAAGACCAGGAUCGCACAUAUCAUAUGGGCAAUCAGAAUCAUCAAUACAAUUCAAUUUUGCUGUAAUGAAAAAGUAAAUAAACUAUGUUGUUAAAAUGGGACAC
Molecule: long non-coding RNA, 403 nt
Filed under: Medicago truncatula (barrel medic)
Lineage: Eukaryota; Viridiplantae; Streptophyta; Magnoliopsida; Fabales; Fabaceae
Description: lncRNA gene9895
Source: RNAcentral